CACUCCUACGGGAGGCAGCAGUGGGGAAUAUUGGACAAUGGGCGCAAGCCUGAUCCAGCCAUGCCGCGUGAGUGAUGAAGGCCCUAGGGUUGUAAAGCUCUUUCACCGGUGAAGAUAUUGACGGUAACCGGAGAAGAAGCCCCGGCUAACUUCGUGCCAGCAGCCGCGGUAAUACGAAGGGGGCUAGCGUUGUUCGGAUUUACUGGGCGUAAAGCGCACGUAGGCGGACUAUUAAGUCAGGGGUGAAAUCCCGGGGCUCAACCCCGGAACUGCCUUUGAUACUGGUAGUCUUGAGUUCGAGAGAGGUGAGUGGAAUUCCGAGUGUAGAGGUGAAAUUCGUAGAUAUUCGGAGGAACACCAGUGGCGAAGGCGGCUCACUGGCUCGAUACUGACGCUGAGGUGCGAAAGCGUGGGGAGCAAACAGGAUUAGAAACCCCUGUAGUCCCAUG
RNAcentral lists this ribosomal RNA (449 nucleotides) under uncultured organism. Its description in RNAcentral is "partial 16S ribosomal RNA". It matches the Rfam family "Bacterial small subunit ribosomal RNA", at positions 334 to 799 of the family's 1533-position model. The record is from RNAcentral.